Molecule: long non-coding RNA, 251 nt
Organism: Macrosteles quadrilineatus (aster leafhopper)
Lineage: Eukaryota; Metazoa; Arthropoda; Insecta; Hemiptera; Cicadellidae
Exons: 3
Source: RefSeq, a predicted model, not a curated record
UUAUCAGAUACAUUUAAUGACUAUUGAAGAAAAGGUAUAAAUAUUUAAACCACCAAAGGAUUGCUAUUAAUUUACUCUAUGUAUUUUGCAUCAGCUGUCAUUCUGGCAUUUGCUACCUUUCUAGCAUUCGUCGAUUUCACGCUUGCGAAACCCGAACCGAAACCUGCAACCGGAACUAUGUCUUAAAUAUAAAGGAAUGGAAGCUGCACUAGUGUAAUGAUCUUGUUAAAUAACAUUUUAUUAAAAUAAAA